GAUGAACGCUAGCGGCAGGCCUAACACAUGCAAGUCGAGGGGUAGAGUUCUUCGGAACUUGAGACCGGCGCACGGGUGCGUAACGCGUAUGCAAUCUACCUUAUACAGGGGAAUAGCCCAGAGAAAUUUGGAUUAAUGCCCCAUGGUACUAUAGAGUGGCAUCACUUUAUAAUUAAAGUUCCAACGGUAUAAGAUGAGCAUGCGUCCCAUUAGUUAGUUGGUAAGGUAACGGCUUACCAAGACAAUGAUGGGUAGGGGUCCUGAGAGGGAGAUCCCCCACACUGGUACUGAGACACGGACCAGACUCCUACGGGAGGCAGCAGUGAGGAAUAUUGGUCAAUGGGCGCAAGCCUGAACCAGCCAUGCCGCGUGCAGGAAGAAGCAUCUAUGGUGUGUAAACUGCUUUUAUACAGGAAGAAACAACUCUACGUGUAGAGUCUUGACGGUACUGUAAGAAUAAGGACCGGCUAACUCCGUGCCAGCAGCCGCGGU
Molecule: ribosomal RNA, 492 nt
Filed under: uncultured bacterium
Lineage: Bacteria
Description: bacterial SSU rRNA
Rfam family: Bacterial small subunit ribosomal RNA
Source: RNAcentral